GAAGCCGAGAAGCAUGGGAAACGUUGUGUCAACAGAUCGCACGGCAACAGAAGAUGUUUUCCAAAACGUUUCAACCACAGAAUCGCUUUAAAAGGAAAUUAAUUGAAAACAUUUUGAGGCUGGAAAUAAAACCUUUUAGGAAUGUAAGUGGGGAAAG
Sphaerodactylus townsendi is the source of this 157-nucleotide long non-coding RNA. RefSeq lists it as uncharacterized. The transcript has 3 exons. NCBI's taxonomy places the organism in Eukaryota, Metazoa, Chordata, Lepidosauria, Squamata, Sphaerodactylidae. The record is from RefSeq and is a predicted model, not a curated record.